Styela clava is the source of this 744-nucleotide non-coding RNA. The record is from RefSeq and is a predicted model, not a curated record. Lineage: Eukaryota; Metazoa; Chordata; Ascidiacea; Stolidobranchia; Styelidae.
AAAUAAAGAAACGCAAUCGAUGCGUCAAGGCGACCCGGUAAAAACCAAGCAAUCGCCGUUUAAAAAUAAGAAAAUCGACUCCAUGCACCACAGUCUAGGUAACCAUGGAAAUUAUUAAGUGAACCAAACAGACUUGCAGUGUGGUCAUGGCAGGUAAAGGUAGUUCGGCUACGGUAAAGUGCAACACAAGUCGAUUGUGUGCAUAUAAGUGUCCAGAUUGAAAUAAAACUGGAUGUUAAGAGUACACAAAUUGUAAAAGUAUAGAAUACCGUACCAAUCAAGUAUGCAAAUAACAAAAUAUUGACACUUUGAGGCAGAAACAAGCUAGUAGUGUGAAAGCUAAAAUGUUGACCUGGACUAACAAGUGUUUUGAUGCUGGAGUCAAAGAUUCACAUACGGGAAUUGUAUAGACAUGAGGAAAAUAUACAUCGAAAUAUUCAGCAGUAUUAAUACAACACAAUGAAGUGAUUUGGAUCGAGACAAAUGAUGAGCUGGCAAUGACGAAAAGAUUUGCUGGGACCACAUCAACUGGAUGUAGAGGCAGUGGAAAGGUAAAGGGAGCGCAUGAAUUUUUUGUAUUUGAAUUUGAAAGUGUCAUAACUACAGUUACGUAAGUUUAAGGGAAUAUUAUUCCAAGUUACCACACCUUUAUAUUUCAAGGAGUUUUGGGAUUUGCUUAGAGAAAAUCUGGGUACAAAUAAAUUAGACCUUGUCGAAGAGCGUGUGUUAUGAUCAUGCACUUUA